CGCAACUACACAAUGCAUGURCWUACGGAAGGGUGCAUUUAUUAGAACAAAACCAAACCGCUUGCGGUUUUUUGUUGACUCARAAUAACUCAGCUGAUCGCAUGGUCUUGUACCGGCSWUGUGUCUAUCGAGUAUCUGCCUUAUCAACUUUCGAUGGUAGUGUAACUGACUACCAUGGUGGUGACGGGUAACGGAGUAUAAGGGUUCGACUCCGGAGAAGGCGCCUGAGAAAUGGCGACUACGUCUAAGGAUGGCAGCAGGCGCGCAAAUUACCCACUCUCAGAAUGAGGAGGUAGUGACGAGAAAUAACGAGACCGUUCUCUUUGAGGACGGUCAUUGGAAUGGGUAGAAUAUAAACCCUUUAACGAGUAUCUAUGAGAGGGCAAGUCUGGUGCCAGCAGCCGCGGUAAUUCCAGCUCUCAAAAUGCAUAGAAAUAUUGCUGCGGUUAAAAAGCUCGUAGUUGGAUCUGUGCUAGAGACUUGGUCCACCUUCGGGUGCGUACUGAGCUCUCUUGCUUUUCUGCCGGUUUUCCCAGCAUGGCUUUAAACGGCUGUGUUGGGUGGCUGGUGAUUUUACUUUGAACAAAUCAGAGUGAUUCAAACAGGCGUUUCGCUUGUAUGUUUUUGCAUGGAAUAAUAGAAGAGGAUCUCGGUUCUAUUUUUAUUGGUUUUAUAGACCGAAAUAAUGGYKUAACAGAGACGAACGGGGGCAUUAGUACUGUUGSGKGARRAGGKGAAAUAAUA
Molecule: ribosomal RNA, 744 nt
Filed under: Ditylenchus dipsaci
Lineage: Eukaryota; Metazoa; Nematoda; Chromadorea; Rhabditida; Anguinidae
Description: SSU rRNA
Rfam family: Eukaryotic small subunit ribosomal RNA
Source: RNAcentral